Molecule: ribosomal RNA, 253 nt
Filed under: uncultured bacterium
Lineage: Bacteria
Description: partial 16S ribosomal RNA
Rfam family: Bacterial small subunit ribosomal RNA
Source: RNAcentral
UACGAAGGGUGCAAGCGUUGCUCGGAAUUAUUGGGCGUAAAGCGCACGUAGGCGGCUUUGCAAGUCCCAUGUGAAAUCCCACGGCUCAACCGUGGAAGUGCAUGGGAAACUGCAGAGCUUGAGUACUUAAGAGGAUCGCGGAAUUCCCGGUGUAGAGGUGAAAUUCGUAGAUAUCGGGAGGAACACCAGUGGCGAAGGCGGCGAUCUGGGAAGAUACUGACGCUGAGGUGCGAAAGCGUGGGGAGCAAACAGG